Molecule: transfer RNA, 69 nt
Filed under: Marmota marmota marmota (Alpine marmot)
Lineage: Eukaryota; Metazoa; Chordata; Mammalia; Rodentia; Sciuridae
Also listed under: 3 other names
Rfam family: tRNA
About the family: Transfer RNA (tRNA) molecules are approximately 80 nucleotides in length. Their secondary structure includes four short double-helical elements and three loops (D, anti-codon, and T loops).
Source: Rfam by way of RNAcentral
GGGAUUGUGGCUCAGUGGUAGAGCACUUGCCUAGCAUGUGUGAGGCCCUGGGUUCGAUCCUCAGCACCA